Molecule: ribosomal RNA, 491 nt
Filed under: uncultured bacterium
Lineage: Bacteria
Description: partial 16S ribosomal RNA
Rfam family: Bacterial small subunit ribosomal RNA
Source: RNAcentral
AUGAACGCUAGCUACAGGCUUAACACAUGCAAGUCGAGGGGAAACGACAUCGAAAGCUUGCUUUUGAUGGGCGUCGACCGGCGCACGGGUGAGUAACGCGUAUCCAACCUGCCCAUCACUUGGGGAUAACCUUGCGAAAGUAAGACUAAUACCCAAUGAUAUCUCUAGAAGACAUCUGAAAGAGAUUAAAGAUUUAUCGGUGAUGGAUGGGGAUGCGUCUGAUUAGCUUGUUGGCGGGGUAACGGCCCACCAAGGCAACGAUCAGUAGGGGUUCUGAGAGGAAGGUCCCCCACAUUGGAACUGAGACACGGUCCAAACUCCUACGGGAGGAAGCAGUGAGGAAUAUUGGUCAAUGGGCGAGAGCCUGAACCAGCCAAGUAGCGUGCAGGAAGACGGCCCUAUGGGUUGUAAACUGCUUUUAUAAGGGAAUAAAGUGAGAGUCGUGACUCUUUUUGUAUGUACCUUAUGAAUAAGGACCGGCUAAUUCCGUG